GCAGCCAUCAUUUAAAGAAAGCGUAAUAGCUCACUGGUCGAGUCGGCCUGCGCGGAAGAUGUAACGGGGCUAAACCAUGCACCGAAGCUGCGGCAGCGAACGUAUCACUUAAAGCGAUUCAGCGGGUUACGAUUGACGGAGCGAAGCGACGUCAAAGCGUAUACAAAGUCGAGUCGGUUUAAGGAUACGUUCGUUGGGUAGGGGAGCGUUCUGUAAGCCUGCGAAGGUGGCCUGUGAGGGUUGCUGGAGGUAUCAGAAGUGCGAAUGCUGACAUAAGUAACGAUAAAGCGG
Molecule: ribosomal RNA, 291 nt
Filed under: Salmonella enterica subsp. enterica serovar Senftenberg
Lineage: Bacteria; Pseudomonadati; Pseudomonadota; Gammaproteobacteria; Enterobacterales; Enterobacteriaceae
Also listed under: 1 other name
Description: partial 23S ribosomal RNA
Rfam family: Bacterial large subunit ribosomal RNA
Source: RNAcentral